This 338-nucleotide unclassified non-coding RNA is filed under the name soil metagenome. RNAcentral describes it as "partial contains 5.8S ribosomal RNA, internal transcribed spacer 2, and large subunit ribosomal RNA". The stretch from base 1 to 120 matches the Rfam family "5.8S ribosomal RNA", at positions 35 to 154 of the family's 154-position model. The record is from RNAcentral.
GAUGAAGAACGUAGCGAAAUGCGAUAAGUAGUGUGAAUUGCAGAAUUCAGUGAAUCAUCGAAUCUUUGAACGCACAUUGCGCCCUUUGGUAUUCCUUAGGGCAUGCCUGUUCGAGCGUCAUCUAAACCUUCAAGCUCAGCUUGGUGAUGGGCGACUGUCCCCCCCCCUCGCGGGGGGGACUCGCCUCAAAAACAUUGGCGGCCGGUACAUUGGCUUCGAGCGCAGCAGAAACGCGGUCUCGAGCCCGGUGGAUCGGCUCCCAUAAGCCUAUUCUUUUAUUUUGACCUCGGAUCAGGUAGGGAUACCCGCUGAACUUAAGCAUAUCAAUAAGCGGAGGA